Non-coding RNA from Potamilus streckersoni, 78 nucleotides. The record is from the annotation of a GenBank genome assembly. NCBI's taxonomy places the organism in Eukaryota, Metazoa, Mollusca, Bivalvia, Unionida, Unionidae.
GACCGCUCAGAUGACCUACAAAAAGUGGUUAGAGCGUCAGCCUCGGAUGCAGAAGGUCGCGGAUUCGAAUCCCGUCCA